UUAACAGAGAGCUAUUAUUUAAGCAAAAGCGAUAUCUAUUUAUUAUAAAAACUAAAAAAAAAAUUCGGCAUAUUUCCUUUAUUCAGUUAACUUUGAAAACAUAUUUCUUUUGUUCGUGCACCUUUGCAUCUGGCAUUACUGUUCGUAUGAGCUUAAAUCACUAGUUUUGGUUUUAGAAGGUUAAUUCAAAGAUUGAAGAUCAAGACAAGUGGAGAAUGUCUUUCGUCAUGCCAUCAAAGUAUGGUGCUAACUUGCCACUGCCUAAAGAUUCAUGUGAGACAAUUAAAGAGGUACCUAGAAAAAUAGUUGUUGUAGUUGCCUUUUCAGGUGAGUGCUUGCCUUGGACAUAUUUCAGUAAUUUGAUUUCAUUUCCCCCUAUUGUCUGUUCUUUGGGUUUUUAAUUGCAGAAACCCAUUACUGUGUAAAUAUUUAACUACCGGACAAUGUACAUAUACAAUUGAAUCUCACGGUCUUGGAUUUGAUGUUGAUAUUUUUCAAAGUUGCUACCUUUGUUCUUUGUUGACAGCUUUUGUAAUGUGAUGCUUUCUUAUGGGAUGCCUUUACACAUUGUUGCAUUUUAUUUCAGAUCAAAAUCUCUGUGGAUGUGGUGACCGUAAUGCUGCCUCUACUUUGACAUCAUUGUGAACGGUUGUAAAUGAGUAAUAAGUGUAUAUUAUAAAUUGAACUUAAAGUUCUUAAAAGAAUAUUUACAAA
This is a non-coding RNA of Vigna umbellata (rice bean), 714 nucleotides long. Lineage: Eukaryota; Viridiplantae; Streptophyta; Magnoliopsida; Fabales; Fabaceae. The record is from RefSeq and is a predicted model, not a curated record.